UAACACGUAGUCAACCUAACUCGUGGACGUGGAUAACCUCGGGAAACUGAGAAUAAACCACGAUAGAUCAUAGUGCCUGGAAUGGCUUAUGGUCCAAACAGUCUACUGCCAUGGGAUGGGACUGCGGCCUAUCAGCUUGUUGGUGAGGUAAUGGCCCACCAAGGCGAUUACAGGUACGGGCUCUGAGAGGAGAAGCCCGGAGAUGGGUACUGAGACACGGACCCAGGCCCUAUGGGGCGCAGCAGGCGAGAAACCUUAGCAAUGUGCGAAAGCACGACUGGGUCAGUCCGAGUGAUUCCUGAUAAAGGAGUCUUUUGCUUGUCCUAAAAGCACAGGUGAAUAAGGGGUGGGCAAGUCUGGUGUCAGCCGCCGCGGUAAUACCAGCACCUCGAGUGGUCAGGACGUUUAUUGGGCCUAAAGCAUCCGUAGCCGGCUUUGCAAGUCUUCGGUUAAAUCCACCUGCUCAACAGAUGGGCCGCUGGAGAUACUACAGAGCUAGGGAGUGGGAGAGGCAGACGGUAUUCAGUGGGGUAGGGGU
RNAcentral lists this ribosomal RNA (538 nucleotides) under uncultured archaeon. Its description in RNAcentral is "bacterial SSU rRNA". It matches the Rfam family "Archaeal small subunit ribosomal RNA", at positions 94 to 633 of the family's 1478-position model. The record is from RNAcentral.